UACGGAGGGUGCAAGCGUUGUCCGGAUUUAUUGGGUUUAAAGGGUGCGUAGGCGGCCUGUUAAGUCAGCGGUGAAAGACCACGGCUCAACCGUGGCAGUGCCGUUGAUACUGGCAGGCUUGAGUGCUGCAGGGGUACAUGGAAUUGAUGGUGUAGCGGUGAAAUGCAUAGAUACCAUCAGGAACACCGAUAGCGAAGGCAUUGUACUGGGCAGCAACUGACGCUGAUGCACGAAAGCAUGGGUAGCGAACAGG
Molecule: ribosomal RNA, 253 nt
Filed under: uncultured bacterium
Lineage: Bacteria
Description: partial 16S ribosomal RNA
Rfam family: Bacterial small subunit ribosomal RNA
Source: RNAcentral